Molecule: ribosomal RNA, 251 nt
Filed under: uncultured prokaryote
Description: partial 16S rRNA
Rfam family: Bacterial small subunit ribosomal RNA
Source: RNAcentral
ACGGAGGGUGCAAGCGUUAAUCGGAAUUACUGGGCGUAAAGCGCACGCAGGCGGUUUGUUAAGUCAGAUGUGAAAUCCCCGGGCUCAACCUGGGAACUGCAUCUGAUACUGGCAAGCUUGAGUCUCGUAGAGGGGGGUAGAAUUCCAGGUGUGGCGCCGAAAUGCGGAGAGAUCGGGAGGAAGACCGGAGGCGAGGGCGGCCACCUGGACGAAAACUGCCUCUCGGCUUCGAAACCGUGUAAAGCAAACAU